Molecule: long non-coding RNA, 474 nt
Organism: Rosa chinensis
Lineage: Eukaryota; Viridiplantae; Streptophyta; Magnoliopsida; Rosales; Rosaceae
Exons: 4
Source: RefSeq, a predicted model, not a curated record
GCUGGGAUAUUGAAGACAAAAUAAAAGAGAAGAAAAUGAAAUGAAAUGGGCAUGUCCUUCAUUUUCUCUAUGGUUUUCUGGGUGCAGAAACAUACUGUGAUUGAGUCCAAGCCUGAACAUUUUCUGGAUGACCUUCGUUUGAAUAAUCCAUGGCCUGAGCUUAGAAGGUCCAGAGUUGCAACAAAUAAUUAGUGACAGCCGUUCUUAAGUUCAUUCCGGUUAAUCAGACUUUUGGGUCAUGGUGGCGGCAUUGAAGAUUUGUGAAACCAAGAUUGAAUCUGCGACAACUGGAUAUAGUGUGCAUAAAUUAGAUCUGUUUAUCUUGGAAUUCCUAGCAAAUGAAGGUGGUGGUGAGGCACCCCUCGAGGGAUCAGUACCAGAUAUAACAUCUUCAACUGAGCACUAUGUAGCUUUACAGAAAACCUACCAAGCCAAGGCUGAGGCUGAUUUUCUAGUAUUGACCAAAGGGUUAGG